CAUUUUAAAACCAAGGGCUUUUGCCCAUCUUCAAUAGCUAACAAGAACUCUUUCUUUUCUUUACAAAUCCCAAAACCUUUACUAGACUUUUUCUGCUUCUUUAGCUUACUUCACCUAGAGUCUUUUACCUUUUCUUAUCAAUGAAUCAACCCCCCUUUUUU
This 161-nucleotide small RNA is filed under the name Arabidopsis thaliana (thale cress). RNAcentral's name for it is "ATSL273110". Lineage: Eukaryota; Viridiplantae; Streptophyta; Magnoliopsida; Brassicales; Brassicaceae. The record is from RNAcentral.